CUACGGGGGGCACCAGUGGGGGAUAUUGCACAAUGGGCGAAAGCCUGAUGCAGCAACGCCGCGUGAAGGAUGACGGAUGGGGGUCUGUAAACUUCUAUCAGCAGGGAAGAAAAUGGCGGUACCUGACUAAGAAGCCCCGGCUAACUACGUGCCAGCAGCCGCGGUAAUACGUAGGGGGUAAGCGUUAUCCGGAAUUACUGGGUGUAAAGGGUACGUAGGCGGCUGAUCAAGUCAGAUGUGAAAGCCCGGAGCUCAACUCCGGGAUUGCAUUUGAAACUGGUCGGCUAGAGUGCAGGAGAGGAAAGUGGAAUUCCUAGUGUAGCGGUGAAAUGCGUAGAUAUUAGGAAGAACACCAGUGGCGAAGGCGGCUUUCUGGACUGUAACUGACGCUGAGGUACGAAAGCGUGGGGAGCGAACAGGAUUAGAUACCCCGGUAGUC
This 439-nucleotide ribosomal RNA is filed under the name uncultured bacterium. RNAcentral describes it as "partial 16S ribosomal RNA". It matches the Rfam family "Bacterial small subunit ribosomal RNA", at positions 339 to 795 of the family's 1533-position model. The record is from RNAcentral.